This 497-nucleotide ribosomal RNA is filed under the name uncultured bacterium. RNAcentral's name for it is "partial 16S ribosomal RNA". It matches the Rfam family "Bacterial small subunit ribosomal RNA", at positions 28 to 507 of the family's 1533-position model. The record is from RNAcentral.
GAUGAACGCUGGCGGCGUGCCUAAUACAUGCAAGUCGAGCGCACGGACGAGAAGCUUGCUUCUCUGAUGUUAGCGGCGGACGGGUGAGUAACACGUGGAUAACCUACCUAUAAGACUGGGAUAACUUCGGGAAACCGGAGCUAAUACCGGAUAAUAUUUUGAACCGCAUGGUUCAAAAGUGAAAGACGGUCUUGCUGUCACUUAUAGAUGGAUCCGCGCUGCAUUAGCUAGUUGGUAAGGUAACGGCUUACCAAAGCAACGAUGCAUAGCCGACCUGAGAGGGUGAUCGGCCACACUGGAACUGAGACACGGUCCAGACUCCUACGGGAGGCAGCAGUAGGGAAUCUUCCGCAAUGGGCGAAAGCCUGACGGAGCAACGCCGCGUGAGUGAUGAAGGUCUUCGGAUCGUAAAACUCUGUUAUUAGGGAAGAACAUAUGUGUAAGUAACUGUGCACACCUUGACGGUACCUAAUCAGAAAGCCACGGCUAACUACGUG